This 795-nucleotide unclassified non-coding RNA is filed under the name Harpegnathos saltator (Jerdon's jumping ant). Its description in RNAcentral is "uncharacterized LOC112589924, transcript variant X4". Lineage: Eukaryota; Metazoa; Arthropoda; Insecta; Hymenoptera; Formicidae. The record is from RNAcentral.
AUAUAUUUAAAAUGCAUUUUGAAGAAAAGCUGUUCGUAAAGACAACGACAGCUCAAUAUGAAGAAUUGGUAAAAUAUAUGGAGUCACAUUUAGAAUUUGCCACAAAUAAGUAUUUAACUAAAGAUGGUAAAAUCCAUCACGCUUAACAAUGGGAGCAGUUGGCAGAAAUGCUUAAUGCAUUGUCUGCAGGCAAUAAGAAAACAUCGAAGCAGUGGCAGACAGUUUGGCGUGAUUUAAAAAGUAAUGCUUCAAAGAAAGCAGCAAAAUUACGCUAUGAAAGGAAUCGGACAGGAAAUUUUCCAUUGAAUUCAGAAAGUCUCGAUAAUUUGCAACAACGUAUUGUUGCCUGUAUGGGGCUACAAUAUGUUGAAGGUGCACAUGAUUGUCCGGACAGUACUCCGGAACAAGAGAAACAUCAACUUCAACUAGGACAUGGGAACGAUGAUGUUCUAAACAUUCCACCAGAGACGACGUCUAUAAGUGAAAUUUUGAAUAUGGAAAAAAACGCAGAUAUCGAUAACGUUUUUGAAAUAAUGGAGACUAAUACAAGUAACGGAAACGAUUUGACAUAUAAUGAUGUUAUGCAAUGUUUAAAUAAUGAAGACACUACAAUGAAAAGGCCGACAGGCUUAAAAAAAGCAACAUCAAAGAGACUGCAACAAAAAAAGAAGGAAAUAUAAUAAGAGAAGUAGUAAACGUAUAAGCGUCGAGCUGCAACAAGCUCGAGAAAAAUUUACAGAAAUUGCUGAAAAUCACGCUAGAGCUCUACAGUUGUUUGCGGAGGCUUCAAUAAAG